AAUUAAUGAACUUGAAUAAGUAUAUGUUUUGAAAACAUAAUAAAGAAGGUUAAUCUUCUAUUAAUUU
Molecule: transfer RNA, 67 nt
Filed under: Ctenochauliodes punctulatus
Lineage: Eukaryota; Metazoa; Arthropoda; Insecta; Megaloptera; Corydalidae
Description: tRNA-Ser
Source: RNAcentral